Molecule: ribosomal RNA, 420 nt
Filed under: uncultured bacterium
Lineage: Bacteria
Description: bacterial SSU rRNA
Rfam family: Bacterial small subunit ribosomal RNA
Source: RNAcentral
GAGGAAUAUUGGUCAAUGGACGCAAGUCUGAACCAGCCACGUCGCGUGAAGGAAGACGGCCCUACGGGUUGUAAACUUCUUUUGCAAGGGAAUAAAGUGGGCCACGUGUGGCCUUUUGCAUGUACCUUGCGAAUAAGGAUCGGCUAACUCCGUGCCAGCAGCCGCGGUAAUACGGAGGGUGCAAGCGUUAUCCGGAUUUAUUGGGUUUAAAGGGUGCGUAGGCGGUUUGAUAAGUCAGCGGUGAAAUAUUUCAGCUUAACUGGAAGGGUGCCGUUGAUACUGUCGAGCUUGAAUUUAGUUGCUGUGGGUGGAAUGUGUGGUGUAGCGGUGAAAUGCAUAGAUAUCACACAGAAUAUCGAUUGCGAAGGCAGCUCACAAAGCUGAUAUUGACGCUGAUGCACGAAAGUGUGGGGAUCAAAC